AUUGAACGCUGGCGGCAGGCCUAACACAUGCAAGUCGAGCGGAUGACGGGAGCUUGCUCCUUGAUUCAGCGGCGGACGGGUGAGUAAUGCCUAGGAAUCUGCCUGGUAGUGGGGGACAACGUUUCGAAAGGAACGCUAAUACCGCAUACGUCCUACGGGAGAAAGCAGGGGACCUUCGGGCCUUGCGCUAUCAGAUGAGCCUAGGUCGGAUUAGCUAGUUGGUGGGGUAAUGGCUCACCAAGGCGACGAUCCGUAACUGGUCUGAGAGGAUGAGCAGCAACACUGGAACUGAGACACGGUCCAGACUCCUACGGGAGGCAGCAGUGGGGAAUAUUGGACAAUGGGCGAAAGCCUGAUCCAGCCAUGCCGCGUGUGUGAAGAAGGUCUUCGGAUUGUAAAGCACUUUAAGUUGGGAGGAAGGGCAGUAAGCUAAUACCUUGCUGUUUUGACGUUACCGACAGAAUAAGCACCGGCUAACUCUGUGCCAGCCGCCGCAGUAA
Molecule: ribosomal RNA, 500 nt
Filed under: uncultured bacterium
Lineage: Bacteria
Description: partial 16S ribosomal RNA
Rfam family: Bacterial small subunit ribosomal RNA
Source: RNAcentral